AUGAAGGCGCGCCGCGACUCGAAAGAAAUUCUUGCCCGUACUCAGUCGGGGCUGGCGGUGACAGCCCCCGUGGGUGUCGUUCCCCUUCUUGGAGGCGUCACCGAGGUAUGUCGGCAUCUCCAUCGCUCGCCCUCAGGAUUGGUAGUUGUCUUCGAGGGAAAGCCUAGGUUUGCAGUCGAAUCGGCGCGAUGGCGGUGUCUUUACCGUCGCUACUCUGUUGGGAGCAUCGCGAUUGAAGAAACAACCUUGAGGUUCUAUGUUGUGCUACUUCUGGUGCUCGCCAUUGUUCAGGGUGAUCUUCAGUGGCGCAAUGUAUGUUACCGCCGAUGA
Molecule: ribosomal RNA, 330 nt
Filed under: Triticum aestivum (bread wheat)
Lineage: Eukaryota; Viridiplantae; Streptophyta; Magnoliopsida; Poales; Poaceae
Description: partial small subunit ribosomal RNA
Source: RNAcentral